This 253-nucleotide ribosomal RNA is filed under the name uncultured bacterium. RNAcentral describes it as "partial 16S ribosomal RNA". It matches the Rfam family "Bacterial small subunit ribosomal RNA", at positions 524 to 776 of the family's 1533-position model. The record is from RNAcentral.
UACGGAGGGGACUAGCGUUGUCCGGAAUUAUUGGGCGUAAAGGGCUCGUAGGCGGUCUGUCGCGUCUGCUGUGAAAACUCAGGGCUUAACCCUGAGCUUGCAGUGGGUACGGGCAGACUAGAGUGCGGUAGGGGAGACUGGAAUUCCUGGUGUAGCGGUGAAAUGCGCAGAUAUCAGGAGGAACACCGGUGGCGAAGGCGGGUCUCUGGGCCGUAACUGACGCUGAGGAGCGAAAGCGUGGGGAGCGAACAGG